GACGAACGCUGGCGGCGUGCUUAACACAUGCAAGUCGAACGGAAAGGCCCUGCUUUUGUGGGGUGCUCGAGUGGCGAACGGGUGAGUAACACGUGAGUAACCUGCCCUUGACUUUGGGAUAACUUCAGGAAACUGGGGCUAAUACCGGAUAGGAGCUCCUGCUGCAUGGUGGGGGUUGGAAAGUUUCGGCGGUUGGGGAUGGACUCGCGGCUUAUCAGCUUGUUGGUGGGGUAGUGGCUUACCAAGGCUUUGACGGGUAGCCGGCCUGCGCGGGUGACCGGCCACAUUGGGACUGAGAUACGGCCCAGACUCGUACGGGAGGCAGCAGUGGGGAAUAUUGCACAAUGGGCGGAAGCCUGAUGCAGCAACGCCGCGUGCGGGAUGACGGCCUUCGGGUUGUAAACCGCUUUCGCCUGUGACGAAGCGUGAGUGACGGUAAUGGGUAAAGAAGCACCGGCUAACUACGUG
This 468-nucleotide ribosomal RNA is filed under the name uncultured bacterium. RNAcentral's name for it is "partial 16S ribosomal RNA". It matches the Rfam family "Bacterial small subunit ribosomal RNA", at positions 28 to 507 of the family's 1533-position model. The record is from RNAcentral.